This 2898-nucleotide ribosomal RNA is filed under the name Clostridioides difficile. RNAcentral describes it as "23S ribosomal RNA". It matches the Rfam family "Bacterial large subunit ribosomal RNA". The record is from RNAcentral. Lineage: Bacteria; Bacillati; Bacillota; Clostridia; Peptostreptococcales; Peptostreptococcaceae.
GGUCAAGUUAUUAAGGGUGCAGGGCGGAUGCCUUGGCACUAGGAGCCGAUGAAGGACGUGAUAAGCUGCGAUAAGCUUCGGGGAGUUGCACGUAAACUUUGAUCCGAAGAUUUCCGAAUGAGGAAACUCACUUAGAGUAAUGUCUAAGUAUCAUUAAGUGAAUACAUAGCUUAAUGAGGGGAACUCAGGGAACUGAAACAUCUAAGUACCUGAAGGAAGAGAAAGAAAUUCGAUUCCGUAAGUAGCGGCGAGCGAACGCGGAUUAGCCCAAACCAAUAAAGUUUUCUUUAUUGGGGUUGCGGACAUAUCAUAACGAAGAGGUAUCGUAAUUGAAGAGGUUUGGAAAGACCCACCACAGAAGGUAAUAGUCCUGUAUGUUAAACGAGAAGACUUCAGAUAUGAUCCAGAGUACCACGGGACACGUGAAACCCUGUGGGAAGCAGGAGGGACCACCCUCCAAGGCUAAAUACUACCUAGUGACCGAUAGCGUAUAGUACCGUGAGGGAAAGGUGAAAAGAACCCCGGGAGGGGAGUGAAAUAGAACCUGAAACCCUGCACUUACAAGCUGUGGAAGCACAUUUCUUGUGUGACCGCGUACUUUUUGUAGAACGGGCCAACGAGUUACGUUAAGUAGCAAGGUUAAGCACUUAAGGUGUGGAGCCGUAGCGAAAGCGAGUUUUAACUGAGCGUUCAGUUACUUGACGUAGACCCGAAACCGGGCGACCUACCCAUGAGCAGGAUGAAGCGAAAGUAAAAUUUCGUGGAGGUCCGAACCCACGAGCGUUGAAAAGCUCGGGGAUGACUUGUGGGUAGCGGUGAAAUUCCAAUCGAGCCCGGAGAUAGCUGGUUCUCCCCGAAAUAGCUUUAGGGCUAGCCUCAAGGUGAGAGAUACGGAGGUAGAGCACUGAAUGUCCUAGGGGGUAUUGCACCUACCGAAGACUAUCAAACUCCGAAUGCCGUCAUCUUAUACUUGGGAGUCAGACUGUGGGUGAUAAGAUUCAUAGUCGAAAGGGCAACAGCCCAGAUCGUCAGCUAAGGUCCCUAAAUGUAAGUUAAGUGGUAAAGGAUGUGGGAUUGCACAGACAACCAGGAUGUUGGCUUAGAAGCAGCCACUCAUUCAAAGAGUGCGUAAUAGCUCACUGGUCGAGUGAUCCUGCGCCGAAGAUUUCCGGGGCUAAAACUUACUACCGAAGCUACGGCAUCAGUAAUGAUGGGUAGGGGAGCUUCCCAUACGGGUUGAAGCAUGACCGUAAGGACAUGUGGACAGUAUGGGAGUGAGAAUGUUGGCAUGAGUAGCGAGAUGUGGGUGAGAAUCCCACAGGCCGUAAACCCAAGGUUUCCAGGGGAAGGUUCGUCCGCCCUGGGUUAGUCGGGACCUAAGCUGAGGCCGAAAGGCGUAGGUGAUGGACAACAGGUUGAUAUUCCUGUACUACCGAUAACCGUUUGAGAGAAGGGAUGACACAGUAGGAUAAGCUAAGCACACUGUUGGUUAUGUGUGCCCAAGCAUUGAGGCAGUCAAAGUAGGCAAAUCCGCUUUGAUAAUGCUGGGAUGUGAUGGGGAGCGAAAUUUAGUAGCGAAGUAGCUGAUUUCACACUGUCAAGAAAAGUCUCUAUCGAGGUUAAAGGUACCCGUACCGCAAACCGACACAGGUGGGUGAGGAGAGUAUCCUAAGGCCAGCGAGAGAACUGUUGUUAAGGAACUCGGCAAAAUGACCCCGUAACUUAGGGAUAAGGGGUGCCACCAUCAGGUGGCCGCAGAGAAUAGGCCCAAGCGACUGUUUACCAAAAACAUAGGUUUCUGCUAAGUCGCAAGACGAUGUAUAGGAGCUGACGCCUGCCCGGUGCUGGAAGGUUAAGGGGAUCUGUUAGAGCAAUCGAAGCAGUGAACUUAAGCCCCAGUAAACGGCGGCCGUAACUAUAACGGUCCUAAGGUAGCGAAAUUCCUUGUCGGGUAAGUUCCGACCCGCACGAAAGGCGUAACGAUUUGGGCACUGUCUCAACAACAGACUCGGUGAAAUUGUAAUUCCGGUGAAGAUGCCGGAUACCUGCGACAGGACGGAAAGACCCCAUGGAGCUUUACUGUAGCUUGACAUUGGGUCUUGGUACUACAUGUACAGGAUAGGUGGGAGGCUUUGAAACCAGGACGCCAGUUUUGGCGGAGCCAUCCUUGGGAUACCACCCUUGUAGUACUGGGACUCUAACCAUAGGCCAUGAAUCUGGUCUUGGGACACUGUCAGGUGGGCAGUUUGACUGGGGCGGUCGCCUCCCAAAAGGUAACGGAGGCGCUCAAAGGUUCUCUCAGUACGGUCGGAAAUCGUACGUAGAGUGUAAAGGCAAAAGAGAGCUUGAUUGCAAGACAUACAGGUCGAGCAAGGAUGAAAAUCGGACUUAGUGAUCCGGUGGUUCUGCGUGGAAGGGCCAUCGCUCAACGGAUAAAAGCUACCCUGGGGAUAACAGGCUUAUCUCCCCCAAGAGUCCACAUCGACGGGGAGGUUUGGCACCUCGAUGUCGGCUCAUCACAUCCUGGGGCUGUAGUAGGUCCCAAGGGUUGGGCUGUUCGCCCAUUAAAGUGGUACGCGAGCUGGGUUCAGAACGUCGUGAGACAGUUCGGUCCCUAUCCGUCGCAGGCGUAGGAAAUUUGAGAAGACCUGUCCUUAGUACGAGAGGACCGGGAUGGACGUACCUCUGGUGUACCAGUUGUUCUGCCAAGGGCAUGGCUGGGUAGCUAUGUACGGAAUGGAUAAGCGCUGAAAGCAUCUAAGCGCGAAGCCAACUUCAAGAUAAGAUUUCCCACCGUAAGGGUAAGACCCCAGAAAGACUAUCUGGUUGAUAGGUCGAAGGUGUAAGUGCAGCAAUGUAUUUAGCUUAUCGAUACUAAUAGGUCGAGGACUUGACCAA